CCCUUAGAGUUUGAUCCUGGCUCAGGAUGAACGCUGGCGGCGUGCCUAAUACAUGCAAGUCGAACGAAUCUCUUUUAGAGAUGAGUGGCGAACGGGUGAGUAAUACAUAGGUAACCUGCCCCUGUGCGGGGGAUAACAGGAGGAAACUCCUGCUAAUACCGCAUAGCCAUGAGCACCGCAUGGAGCUCAUGCCAAAUAUCCUUUAUGGGAUAGCGCAGGGAUGGACCUAUGGCGCAUUAGCUGGUUGGCGGGGCAACGGCCCACCAAGGCAACGAUGCGUAGCCGGCCUGAGAGGGCGGACGGCCACAUUGGGACUGAGACACGGCCCAGACUCCUACGGGAGGCAGCAGUAGGGAAUUUUCGGCAAUGGGGGAAACCCUGACCGAGCAACGCCGCGUGAGCGAAGAAGGCCUUCGGGUCGUAAAGCUCUGUUGUAAAGGAAGAACGGCGCAUACAGGAAAUGGUAUGCGAGUGACGGUACUUUACCAGAAAGCCACGGCUAACUACGUGCCAGCAGCCGCGGUAAUACGUAGGUGGCGAGCGUUAUCCGGAAUCAUUGGGCGUAAAGAGGGAGCAGGCGGCCGCAAGGGUCUGUGGUGAAAGACCGAAGCUAAACUUCGGUAAGCCAUGGAAACCGGGCGGCUAGAGUGCGGAAGAGGAUCGUGGAAUUCCAUGUGUAGCGGUGAAAUGCGUAGAUAUAUGGAGGAACACCAGUGGCGAAGGCGACGGUCUGGGCCGCAACUGACGCUCAUUCCCGAAAGCGUGGGGAGCAAAUAGGAUUAGAUACCCUAGUAGUCCACGCCGUAAACGAUGGUCACUAAGUGUCGGGGGUCAAACCCCGGUGCUGCAGUCAACGCAAUAAGUGACCCGCCUGAGUAGUACGUUCGCAAGA
Molecule: ribosomal RNA, 892 nt
Filed under: uncultured bacterium
Lineage: Bacteria
Description: bacterial SSU rRNA
Rfam family: Bacterial small subunit ribosomal RNA
Source: RNAcentral